Molecule: ribosomal RNA, 253 nt
Filed under: uncultured bacterium
Lineage: Bacteria
Description: partial 16S ribosomal RNA
Rfam family: Bacterial small subunit ribosomal RNA
Source: RNAcentral
UACGGAGGAUGCGAGCGUUAUCCGGAUUUACUGGGUGUAAAGGGAGCGCAGGCGGUCUGGCAAGUCUGAUGUGAAAGGCCGGGGCUCAACUCCGGGACUGCAUUGGAAACUGUCAGACUGGAGUGUCGGAGAGGUAAGCGGAAUUCCUAGUGUAGCGGUGAAAUGCGUAGAUAUUAGGAGGAACACCAGUGGCGAAGGCGGCUUACUGGACGAUGACUGACGCUGAGGCUCGAAAGCGUGGGGAGCAAACAGG